AGGACGAACGCUGGCGGCGUGCCUAAUGCAUGCAAGUCGCACGCAGGGUGCUUGCACUCUGAGUGGCGCACGGCUGAGGAUCACGUGGGAACAUGCCUCCUUGUGGGGGACAACAGCGCGAAAGCGCUGCUAAUCCCGCAUACGCUCGGGCAACCGAGGAAAGCGUGUAAACGCGCAGGGAGAGUGGCCCGCGGCCCAUCAGGUCGUAGGUGGGGUAAUGGCCUACCUAGCCGAUGACGGGUAGCUGGUCUGUGAGGACAGACAGCCAGACUGGGACUGAGACACGGCCCAGACUCCGUACGGGAGGCAGCAGCAAGGAAUUUUCGACAAUGGGCUAACGCCUGAACGAGCAACGCCGCGUGGAGGGCGACGGCCGUUCGGUUGUAAACGUCCGUUUUGGCGGGACGAUAAGUGACCGGUACCCGCGAAGUAA
This 433-nucleotide ribosomal RNA is filed under the name uncultured soil bacterium. RNAcentral's name for it is "bacterial SSU rRNA". It matches the Rfam family "Bacterial small subunit ribosomal RNA", at positions 26 to 489 of the family's 1533-position model. The record is from RNAcentral.